AAUAGAUACCCUGGUAGUCCACGCCGUAAACGAUGAGUACUAGCUGUCGGAGGUUACCCCUUCGGUGGCGCAGCUAACGCAUUAAGUACUCCGCCUAGGAAGUACGCUCGCAAGAGUGAAACUCAAAGGAAUUGACGGGGACCUGCACAAGUAGCGGAGCAUGUGGUUUAAUUCGAAGCAACGCGAAGAACCUUACCUAAGCUUGACAUCCUUUUGACCGAUGCCUAAUCGCAUCUUUCCCUUCGGGGACAGAAGUGACAGGUGGUGCAUGGUUGUCGUCAGCUCGUGUCGUGAGAUGUUGGGUUAAGUCCCGCAACGAGCGCAACCCUUGCCUUUAGUUGCCAGCAUUAAGUUGGGCACUCUAGAGGGACUGCCAGGGAUAACCUGGAGGAAGGUGGGGAUGACGUCAAAUCACCAUGCCCCUUAUGCUUAGGGCUACACACGUGCUACAAUGGGUGGUACAGAGGGCAGCGAAGUCGUGAGGCCAAGCUAAUCCCUUAAAGCCAUUCUCAGUUCGGAUUGUAGGCUGAAACUCCG
RNAcentral lists this ribosomal RNA (537 nucleotides) under uncultured bacterium. RNAcentral's name for it is "bacterial SSU rRNA". It matches the Rfam family "Bacterial small subunit ribosomal RNA", at positions 777 to 1314 of the family's 1533-position model. The record is from RNAcentral.